Molecule: ribosomal RNA, 292 nt
Filed under: uncultured Planctomycetota bacterium
Lineage: Bacteria; Pseudomonadati; Planctomycetota
Description: uncultured planctomycete partial 16S ribosomal RNA
Source: RNAcentral
GGACUACUCGGGUUUCUAAUCCCGUUCGCUACCCUGGCUUUCGUGCCUCAGCGUCAGAAGAGACCCAGUAAGCCGCCUUCGCCACCGGUGUUCCCUAGGAUAUCAACGCAUUUCACCGCUCCACCCUAAGUUCCGCUUACCUCUGUCUCCCUCGAGCACGGUAGUUUUGGGCGCAGUUCCUCAGUUAAGCUGAGGUAUUUCACACCCAACUUUCCGCACAGCCUACGCACCCUUUAAGCCCAGUGAUUCCGAAUAACGUUCGUCAGGCUCGUCUUACCGCGGCUGCUGGCAC